RNAcentral lists this ribosomal RNA (480 nucleotides) under uncultured bacterium. Its description in RNAcentral is "partial 16S ribosomal RNA". It matches the Rfam family "Bacterial small subunit ribosomal RNA", at positions 30 to 505 of the family's 1533-position model. The record is from RNAcentral.
AUUGAACGCUGGCGGCAGGCCUAACACAUGCAAGUCGAGCGGAUGAAGGGAGCUUGCUCCUGGAUUCAGCGGCGGACGGGUGAGUAAUGCCUAGGAAUCUGCCUGGUAGUGGGGGAUAACGUCCGGAAACGGGCGCUAAUACCGCAUACGUCCUGAGGGAGAAAGUGGGGGAUCUUCGGACCUCACGCUAUCAGAUGAGCCUAGGUCGGAUUAGCUAGUUGGUGGGGUAAAGGCCUACCAAGGCGACGAUCCGUAACUGGUCUGAGAGGAUGAUCAGUCACACUGGAACUGAGACACGGUCCACUCCUACGGGAGGCAGCAGUGGGGAAUAGUGGACAAUGGGCGAAAGCCGGAUCCAGCCAUGCCGCGUGUGUGAAGAAGGUCUUCGGAUUGUAAAGCACUUUAAGUUGGGAGGAAGGGCAGUAAGUUAAUACCUUGCUGUUUUGACGUUACCAACAGAAUAAGCACCGGCUAACUUCG